Molecule: non-coding RNA, 240 nt
Filed under: Clostridiales bacterium
Lineage: Bacteria; Bacillati; Bacillota; Clostridia; Eubacteriales
Description: T-box sequence
Rfam family: T-box leader
About the family: Uncharged tRNA acts as the effector for transcription antitermination of genes in the T-box leader family. T-boxes are found upstream of many aminoacyl-tRNA synthetase genes and some amino acid biosynthetic genes usually in Gram-positive bacteria.
Source: RNAcentral
AAUAAGCCGCUAUACUAGGAAGCAAGUAAGUUUAAAAACAGAUUCAAAGAGAGUUGCAGGUGGUGAAAUUGCAGCAGUUAUGAUUAAACUGAAUGGGUCCUGGGAGGUUGGGGAUGAACAUAAGUAGUCCUUCACGUAAGCCUUACGUUACAAAGGCAGGAUAUCAUUGUGUAUCUUAUUAAUAAGGAAAAGCAUUAUGCUUUUUGAAUUAGGUGGCACCGCGUAUGUUACGCCCUAAGG